Molecule: long non-coding RNA, 3510 nt
Filed under: Salmo salar (Atlantic salmon)
Lineage: Eukaryota; Metazoa; Chordata; Actinopteri; Salmoniformes; Salmonidae
Description: lncRNA (ENSSSAG00000089809.1)
Source: RNAcentral
AACAAGCAUGGGAAGCAGUGUUUAAACCCUUUACAAUUAAAAUCUGUGAAGUUAUUUGGAUUUUUACAAAUGAUAUUUGAAAGACAGGGUCCUGAAAAAGGGACGCUUCUUUUUUAACUGAUUUUUCCAAUGCCAAAUCGGUGUGUCUUGUUUGCAACGAAACUGUCCCUGUUUGCAAAUAAUGAAAUCUGAGACGUCAUUAGGAAUCUGAGCAUGGUACUUCAUUUAAGGUUAGGCAUUCGGUUAGCAGUGUGAUUACGGUUAGGUUUUAAAUCACAUUUUAAGAAGAGAAAUUGUAGAAAUACGCUAGGUGUAGAACUUUGUGGCCAUGGUAACUAGUGACGACCCUGUAUAGGUGGAGCUUAUAAUACAUUUUACAUUACAGAGAAGUCCACUGUUUUUACUCUACGCGGAAAGGGAGUCCCUAGAGAAAGCAAGAACAAGAUGGUUGUCGGGAGUAGUGCAGUAUUAUCAUAAGGAGUCGUAUACUUGGAAAACGGAGGAGGAAUGGAGGGAAAAAGAGAGGGAGAGGAGGUCUAAGAGAGAGAGGGAAGAAGAGGGUGAGCUUGAGAUAAAAAAUGGUGGGAAAAAGUAGAUGGUUUGUUAAAUAAGAAUGAUAGAAAGUGUAAGCAGAGGGAGCUGAAGACAGGAGGAGAAAUGGAAGUGAAUGAGGGUGAAGUAUCGGAGGUGGUAGGUGUGGUGAAGUUAUCGGGGACCGAGGUAUGCAGGGAGGGUAAGAAAUGAGUCUGUGACAGUAGGAGUGAAGUUCAUGGAAAAAGUGGACUCUUGCCUUUUGGCUGAUUCAUUUGUUGUUUCACGGUGGGUGAAAAAAGAGUUGGGUAAUGUGGAAUUGGUGAGGGUAACCAAAAGUGGUCUAGUGAUAAUUGUUUGUGUUUUUGUUGGUCAGAGGGAGAAGGCGCUCGGAGUAAAACAAAUGGGGGCAAAGAACGUGAAUUGUUUUGCUCUCAAGAAAAGGUCACCAAUGAAAGGAGUGAUAACUGGGGUAGCAGUAAAUAUAAAAGUUGACCAGCUGAGGGCAAAGAUUCCCGGUGUAUGUGAUGCUCGUCGUUUGAUGUGACGCAGACAGGGUGGCGAGUGGGGAAACAGAAGAGUCAUUGUCUGUUCGUUUGAGUUUUGAAGUUGAGUCUUUGCCUGACAAAGUGAAGUUAGGAUAUAUAAGUUAUCCUGUAGGAGCGUAUGUGCCAAAUACAUUACGAUGUUACAGGUGUCAAGUUUAUGGACAUGUGUAGGAGGGAGAGGCCAAGGUGUGCAGAAGGGCAUGAGACAAAGGAAUGUGUAGUAUUGGGGAAAGUAGUGGUACGUGUUAAUUGUAGGGGUGCCCAUGGAGCUGGGGAUCAGAAAUGUCCCGUGCGAGAGAGUCAGGUUGAGGUUUCCAGGGUUAGAGUAGUGCAGAAGUUCUGAGGCAGUGAAGAAAGUAGAGGAAGAUGGGUUAAGGGGGAGGAGUGUUGAGACUAGUUGAGAUAUACCAGUACAGAGGGAUAGGCCAGUGGUAUACGUUUCAGUAAGAUUGGAUAUUUAGCAAAUGUAGAAAUUGUUAUCAACUGUACUGCAGGGAUGGAAUGGAAGUCGCAGAAAAUUGAGGUUGUGGUGGCAGCUGCAGAGAGGUAUUUGGGUGUGCGAGACUUGACAUCAGAAGAGGUACAGGGUAUGUUAAGUGGUGAUGUCCCAUCCUUUCAGGAUGAUGGCAUGAGGUAGGAAUAAAUACAUUUAAUUAGUGGAGUAGGCUGGUGUUAAUUUUAUUUUAUAUAACUUUGAAAUUAGUGAGUGUAGUGUUCGAUGGUAGGGUGUUCAUUUAGUACAUUUGUAUUUUUCAAGAAAAGUAUAAGGGAGUUGUACUCCAGUCUAGUAGGUGGCGGUAAUUCAACAAAUUGGAUCCCAACCGCCGUUUAACCUCAUAGAAGAAGAGGUUUUUGCUCCAAAGGAUCAUGGGAACUUUCUUUUCCGAAGAUAGCAAUGUGCUGUCAACGUUUUACGGAUCAUUCCAUUUUGCGUUACCACAGCGAGGGGGACUUUGGCAUUUUAAUCUAUUAAUUUUUUGACGUAAGACGCAUCAUUGUAACGUUAAGUGCAUUGACUUUUUAUACUCGAACAUUUUAUUUUGAUUCAGUUGAAUUUAUCCAGCUGUAUAAUUGUGAAUGAUCUAGCUAACUUAGCUGGCUGAGUUGAUAUUACAAACGGCUAACUCACAGACACGAUUUAUUUUUUAAACAUUUUGUGAAAUGUUCUUGGACAGCAUGGAAACUAAAGUGGAAUUCGAAGUACUGAAACCUUGCGACUCCAGAAGAUCUGGUAAACUUUCAAAGUGCAGACUGAGGAAAGUUCUCCAUUUGAGUUCCAAGGAAGGCCUGAAACGGUGGCGCACCAACCUUGUCAAAGCCACUCUCAAAAAAUACAUUCGUUGCGAACAGAAGAGGGUGCUCACUAAACCGGUCAACCAAGAACAACUUUUGACGGGCAACGGCGAAGAUAUGACGUAUAUGGCGACCGAGAAUAUCGGCAGAAUUACACGACCACUAGGCGCAAUGGCGCCAAAGAAUACAACACAGUAUCUGAUGGACAUUGUAUACGACGACAUGCACAUUGACACCAGUUCCAACCAGUUCAAGUCGCAACCAGUUUCAUUUGUUUCUAGCGCCUCUCUUUCACCCAGGAGCGCGUGUGAAAGUUCUCUUGAUUUUCAACAGAGGGACUUCGACGAAAUGUAUCUCCAUUUUGGAUCAUGUUGAUCAGGCUUGAACCAGUCUGUGGCAGAGCUGACCAAUGCAUUGACUCUAAACCUCGCAAACCAAGCGACGCACCGGACGCUGCCUGUCGGUGGGCGCUCGCUCGCAGCGUCGCUUCCGGUGAAGUUGAGUCCACCGCUAAGGUAUCCCAGGUAAACCUGCGUCACCAACAGGUAAACGUGGCAGGUAGUGGAGUCAUCCUGUAACGUUCUAUGGUGCAAUUUGACUUCAUUUGGUUGCUUUUCAUUGACCUCACUACAGGUUUAGUCUCAUAGUCGAGAUGGAGUAAUUUGCCUUUGGUUGACUUGGUUAUAUACACAGUACCCAGAUGUGUUCACAGCCAUCUGCUGUAUUUACUCUUGUGCGAGCCUUUUUCAGGUCACUCCGUUCUUCGACAUGCCUCCUACCUGACUGCAAUCAGCUGGCCGUUGCCAGAUCGAUGGACACGUGCGGAUGACUGAGUAAGGUUUCAAGUCCACCUCACAUGUAGUGUUGCAGUUCUAAUGUAUACUUAAUGGAUAAUACUGACUUGAUUAGCAAUCAUGUUACCAAAUGCAAGUUUGGGUAAUAUUCACUCAUUACAGAUAUUUGUUACCCAUAGCAAAGACAUUCAAUCCAUUUUUUGAUUACUUAAUGUAAACGUUUGUUUAAACAUGUUGCCAAUGACAUCUGUGUAAAUGUAUUGUAUGUGUCUGGACAUGUUGAGAAAUCCUAACUUCCUAGUUAAAUGCUCGUGUGAAUAAAAGUGUAUGACCUGUUGCCACUU